UACGGAAGGCAGCAGUGGGGAAUAUUGCACAAUGGGCGCAAGCCUGAUGCAGCCAUGCCGCGUGUAUGAAGAAGGCCUUCGGGUUGUAAAGUACUUUCAGUCGUGAGGAAGGUGUUAAGGUUAAUAACCUUAGCAAUUGACGUUAGCGACAGAAGAAGCACCGGCUAACUCCGUGCCAGCAGCCGCGGUAAUACGGAGGGUGCGAGCGUUAAUCGGAAUUACUGGGCUAAAGGGCACGCAGGCGGUUAAUUAAGUUGGAUGUGAAAUCCCCGGGCUUAACCUGGGAAUGGCAUUCAAGACUGGUUAGCUAGAGUCUUGUAGAGGGGGUAGAAUUCCGAUGUGUAGCGGUGAAAUGCGUAGAGAUGUGGAGGAAUACCGGUGGCGAAGGCGGCCCCUGGGACAAGACUGACGCUCAUGUGCGAAAGCGUGGGGAGCAAACAGGAUUAGAUACC
This 452-nucleotide ribosomal RNA is filed under the name uncultured bacterium. Its description in RNAcentral is "bacterial SSU rRNA". It matches the Rfam family "Bacterial small subunit ribosomal RNA", at positions 340 to 786 of the family's 1533-position model. The record is from RNAcentral.